RNAcentral lists this ribosomal RNA (449 nucleotides) under Clostridioides difficile. RNAcentral describes it as "bacterial SSU rRNA". It matches the Rfam family "Bacterial small subunit ribosomal RNA", at positions 1090 to 1533 of the family's 1533-position model. Lineage: Bacteria; Bacillati; Bacillota; Clostridia; Peptostreptococcales; Peptostreptococcaceae. The record is from RNAcentral.
CAACGAGCGCAACCCUUGUCUUUAGUUGCCAUCAUUAAGUUGGGCACUCUAGAGAGACUGCCAGGGAUAACCUGGAGGAAGGUGGGGAUGACGUCAAAUCAUCAUGCCCCUUAUGCUUAGGGCUACACACGUGCUACAAUGGGUAGUACAGAGGGUUGCCAAGCCGUAAGGUGGAGCUAAUCCCUUAAAGCUACUCUCAGUUCGGAUUGUAGGCUGAAACUCGCCUACAUGAAGCUGGAGUUACUAGUAAUCGCAGAUCAGAAUGCUGCGGUGAAUGCGUUCCCGGGUCUUGUACACACCGCCCGUCACACCACGGGAGUUGGAGACGCCCGAAGCCGACUAUCUAACCUUUUGGAAGAAGUCGUCGAAGGUGGAAUCAAUAACUGGGGUGAAGUCGUAACAAGGUAGCCGUAUCGGAAGGUGCGGCUGGAUCACCUCCUUUCUAAGGA